Molecule: long non-coding RNA, 3406 nt
Organism: Triticum aestivum (bread wheat)
Lineage: Eukaryota; Viridiplantae; Streptophyta; Magnoliopsida; Poales; Poaceae
Exons: 4
Source: RefSeq, a predicted model, not a curated record
AAUAAAGAAAAUCGCCCGCCCGCACGACCUCCUCCUUCUCCCGCACGACCUCCUUAUCCUCCCGCAGCCGCGCCCUUCACCGCCUCCUCGCGCCGCCGGAGCCACGGGAAGCGGCCGCGGGUCGCCGGGAGCCUCCCCAGCCGCGGGAGCCCGCCCCCGCCGACCCCGCCCCCGCCGCCGGAGCCGCCCCGCCGCGCCCUUCGCCGCCCCUCAUCCUCGGCGGCGAGAGGCACGCAGGAGCCGCCGCCAGGGACGUGGACGUGUGCGGGCCAACCACCGGCGUACGAGGCCGCGCCUGAGCCUGCGGCGCGGCGGCGCGGAGCCCUCCGCCGCCAGUUCCCUGCCGGUUCGAGAUCGCCACCGGUCCCCUCCGUGCCGUCAUCGUCCUUCCUGCUACCAGCUCCGUCCUCCGCCCUAUCUCCGCGGCAAUGUUCUGCUCCAUCCAUCGGCGCAAACAACCUAUAGAGUCAAGGAGUAGAAUACCAAAAUACGAGCUGCAAAAGUGACUCAAAUUCCUCUUCCCUCACAAGUAACUACACUGAGGUGGAGGCUGGCCUGCAGCUUGUGUGCGCGGAGGCUCGUGUGCGCGGAGGAGAAGCACACUUCACCGACAAGUUGUUCCCGCUAUCCUCGCUGCCACUGCCAGUGACGGAACUUGGUGUGGACAACAUGCUGGAAAGAGAGUGUUCAUCCCUAUGAUCCCUUUGGCGCCCUCGGAGGACAUUUCACUUCCUUUCAAGUUGAAGAGGAAACAGUUCCCUGGAUCGAUCCUGGAGAGCCCCUUCCGUAACCAAGUCCCCUCCCCACUCGGAGUCCUCCGCCACUGACGCACGGGUAAGCGCCAGAGAUGCGGUGCAUCCACGCGGUUCAACGAGCUGCCGCUGUCGUAGAUAACCAAGACGUACACGGAGAUAAGCAAGAUUCAGUGUGCUGCACUGCCCCCACGCGCUCUGAGGGUGCGAUGUCCCCGACGUGUCCAAGACAAGGUCCAGGAAGACCCUCGCCUUCGUUAUCCUGGUAAAGUUUUGCUGUUAUUUUACUCCCCCAACUCCACUUACAGGGGAACAAAGAGUAAGAGUAAUCCUGGGGAUAAUGGUAUUUUCAUUUGUGCUUCUAAUUAAUAGUAUUACUGUCAGCUCCAUCCUUAGAGCAAUUGACGAAAAUGACUAUAUCACCUAGAUUGAUAGACAAUAAUUAUGCACAAACAUGGCAAUGUCCACAAAACAACUGCCGCUGCAUUGCUAAGAUGCAGCUUGAUUUGGCCUCAAUAUUUUGAUUUUUGAGUAUUACUUUCUUCCACUCCUCUGCAAAAUACUCCUAUGUUCUAGCUUCUCAAGCCUCUACUCUCAACCAGUCCAGUUGUCCAGGUGUUUUUUUUUUGAUAAAUAUUGAUUUUGUUUCCUUUAUCUAUCGGUUUCAAUUCUGUAUCCGCCGUUCUCAGGAUAACUGUGUGAUGUUGCCAUGGGAUCCAAAAUAACUAUUUUUUACUGAAGCUACAGACUUAAGCAGUUUCUACCAUGUGUACUGUAUUUUGAGUUAAACCUGAACGGCUUUCGUCGCAUGAUACACCACAGUGCUUUCAUGUUUUUAGGAGGGUAGUUCUUCCCUGUGUUAUGAAUAUGAUUACUAUGGUGUCACUGUACAUUUCUUAUAUGGUUAGUUCUUAAUUUUCUUCAUUAUUCCAAACAUGUGUACCCACUAGGAUUUCAUCUUUUAUUAUUUACCUUCAAGCAGUAUAUAUUACUGUUGUUUGUUGUCCACCUUGAUCCUUCGCUGAUAUUUUUCCUAGGAAACUUCACAUGGAAUUAGGAUCAGUUAAUAAGAUUCUGGUAUAUUCUCAAUUUUUCUUGCUUUAUGCAUGAACCUAUCAUCAAGAUUUGGAUCUCUUAUAUGUGCCUUUGCUGCUGUAGAUUUGUUAGUGUUGAUUUGCAGUAAGAGGAAAUGUACUAUUGUUCUCAUCAAUUUCUUUCAUACCAUGUGUAUGGUUAGUUCUUAAUAUUCUUCAUUAUUCAAAAUACUUGUACCCACUAGGAUUCAUUUAUUAUUUUUUACCGUCAAGCACUAUAUAUAUUACUGUUGUUUGUUGUAUACCUUGAUCCUUCGCUGAUGUUUUUCCUAGGCAACUUCACAUGGAAUUAGGAUCACUUAAUAAGAUUCUGGUAUAUUCUGCAAAUUUUCUUGCUUUAUGCAUGAACCUAUCAUCAAGAAUUGGAUCUCUUAUAUGUGCAUGUGCUGCUGUAUAUUGGUUGGGUGUUGAUUUGCAGUAAGAGGAAAUGUACUAUUGUUCUCAUCAAUUUCUUUCAUAUCAUCUUAUAAAAAUAUGUUGUUUAAAUAUGAAGAGGUGGAUAAGUUUUUGGCUUUAGUUACUGAAUAUCCAGAUCCGGCUUGCUUCUCAGCUAUGGCCUACAUUUAGAAGAAAUAUGUUGUUUAAAUAUGAAGAGGUGGAUAAGUUUCUGGCUUUAGUUACUGAAUACCCGGAUCCUGCUUGCUUCUCAGCCAUGGCUUACAUUUAGAGAAGACAUGUUCAUAUGUAAGAGAUUUAAGGUCAAUGAUCUCCCCCUAUUGUAAUGCUCAUCAUCUUAAUUCAGACAUUGCUAUAUAUAUGCACCAUGGUUCAUGACUGUACUUUUUUCUUACGUGUUUACGAAGUUUGUCAGUAUUAUUAUGCAGAGAUAACCUGUCAUGGUUCUAUGUUGAUGUGUUCUUUCAUUUGUCAAUUUCUUUUGCUUUGAAGCAAUGUUGAUUGCCUCAAAGAAUGGUUCCGCGUGGCUUACACGCUUAUACCUACUUGAAUGUUAAAUUUUAUUAGCAAAUUCAUCGAGAACAAUGCCAACAUUUUACGUCUUGCUACAUGAAGCUAUGUACUGCAGGGUACAACAGUGUCAACAUUUCCGGUGCUCAUUGACAAUAAGAUUGAAGAUGUAUUUUCUUGAUUGGAAAUAUUAUACCUCAAAUUUAAUUCAAUCGUGGAUACAAUGACAACUUUAUGCCCUGAAUAACAAGUGAUUAUGUGAGUGUAGGAAUUAGGACUGGUGACAACAACAUGUGGAGUGGCACAACAAGUGGUGUUGUGGAGUACCGAAGCAAGGGUAGUCAGGUAAAUCCAACGGCGUGCACGUUUCGAUCGCCGACUGCGAUCGCCCUAUUUGGACAAGGGGCACAUUGGUUCAUAAAACAAUCAACACGUCUUUAUGAUUUAAAUUUGAAUUAUGAUAGAAAUAUUUCUGUUUCAUAAUUGAGACGUGUGUUACACGUACAUGCUUACUAGUAACUGAACUGGAACUGAACAAUUUGGAUACAUGACUAAUUCUAGGCUUGCAUUGUUUUUCUCGAAUACGCACGAGUGUGCGUACUAUAUUAUAAAGAAGGAAAUGGGGUAAAGAGCCCGUCCAUGUUAGUGUUCCAG